This 71-nucleotide transfer RNA is filed under the name Cyanobacteria bacterium SBLK. RNAcentral's name for it is "tRNA-Gly". It matches the Rfam family "tRNA". From Rfam's summary of the family: Transfer RNA (tRNA) molecules are approximately 80 nucleotides in length. Their secondary structure includes four short double-helical elements and three loops (D, anti-codon, and T loops). The record is from RNAcentral. Lineage: Bacteria; Bacillati; Cyanobacteriota.
GCGGGUAUAGUUUAGUGGCAAAACGAACGCUUCCCAAGCCUUAGAUACGGGUUCGAUUCCCGUUACCCGCU